Danionella cerebrum is the source of this 70-nucleotide non-coding RNA. Lineage: Eukaryota; Metazoa; Chordata; Actinopteri; Cypriniformes; Danionidae. The record is from the annotation of a GenBank genome assembly.
GUUCUGUGGCUCAGGCAGUAGAGCAUUGCACUAGGAUUGCAAAGGUUGUGGGUUCAAAGCCCAGAGAAUU